AGGCCCAAAGAGAGAAGCAGGGUCUGAUCCACAGCCUCCAUGGCAGCCGUUGAUCAGCCCUUGCCUCUCUUUAUCUCUG
Myotis lucifugus (little brown bat) is the source of this 79-nucleotide non-coding RNA. Lineage: Eukaryota; Metazoa; Chordata; Mammalia; Chiroptera; Vespertilionidae. The record is from Rfam.